CCUACGGGAGGCAGCAGUAGGGAAUAUUGCUCAAUGGGGGAAACCCUGAAGCAGCAACGCCGCGUGGAGGAUGAAGGUUUUAGGAUUGUAAACUCCUUUUGGUAGAGAAGUUUAUGACGGUAUCUGACGAAUAAGCACCGGCUCACUCCGUGCCAGCAGCCGCGGUAAUACGGAGGGUGCAAGCGUUACUCGGAAUCACUGGGCGUAAAGUGUGCGUAGGCGGGGUAAUAAGUCAGAUGUGAAAUCCUUGAGCUUAACUACAGAACUGCAUUUGAAACUGGUACUCUUGAGUGUGGGAGAGGUAGGUGGAAUUCUUGGUGUAGGGGUAAAAUGCGUAGAGAUCAAGAAGAAUACUCAUUGCGAAGGCGACCUGCUGGAACAUUACUGACGCUGAUGCACGAAAGCGUGGGGAGCAAACAGGAUUAGAUACCCGUGUAGUC
This 440-nucleotide ribosomal RNA is filed under the name uncultured bacterium. RNAcentral describes it as "partial 16S ribosomal RNA". It matches the Rfam family "Bacterial small subunit ribosomal RNA", at positions 338 to 795 of the family's 1533-position model. The record is from RNAcentral.